UUUAUAUUUUUAUCUUGCUAAAAAGUAAAUAAUAAAAAAAUAUAUUAUAUAUAUAAUUAUUUAUUUAUAUAUAUAAAUAUAAAUUAAAUAAAUUAUAUAAAUAUAAAAUAUAUGUAAUCGAGCUAUUAUCCAACCGAACACGAGCGAGCCGACCCUAACUUGUGUUCGGCUCGUUUACUAAACGAACGAUUCGAUCUCGAACUCAUUUC
Molecule: long non-coding RNA, 209 nt
Filed under: Ananas comosus (pineapple)
Lineage: Eukaryota; Viridiplantae; Streptophyta; Magnoliopsida; Poales; Bromeliaceae
Description: long non-coding RNA (ACOM_LNC030709)
Source: RNAcentral